UUGAUCCUGGCUCAGGAUGAACGCUAGCGGCAGGCUUAACACAUGCAAGUCGAGGGGUAUUGGUUUUCGGACCAAGAGACCGGCGCACGGGUGCGUAACGCGUAUGCAAUCUACCUUUCACAGAGGGAUAGCCCAGAGAAAUUUGGAUUAAUACCUCAUAGCAUAGCAGCGUCGCAUGACGCUACUAUUAAAGUCACAACGGUGAAAGAUGAGCAUGCGUCCCAUUAGCUAGUUGGUAAGGUAACGGCUUACCAAGGCUACGAUGGGUAGGGGUCCUGAGAGGGAGAUCCCCCACACUGGUACUGAGACACGGACCAGACUCCUACGGGAGGCAGCAGUGAGGAAUAUUGGACAAUGGGCGCAAGCCUGAUCCAGCCAUGCCGCGUGCAGGAUGACGGUCCUAUGGAUUGUAAACUGCUUUUGUACAGGAAGAAACAGUUCUACGUGUAGAACCUUGACGGUACUGUAAGAAUAAGGAUC
Molecule: ribosomal RNA, 480 nt
Filed under: Flavobacterium sp. DB3.3-16
Lineage: Bacteria; Pseudomonadati; Bacteroidota; Flavobacteriia; Flavobacteriales; Flavobacteriaceae
Description: bacterial SSU rRNA
Rfam family: Bacterial small subunit ribosomal RNA
Source: RNAcentral